ACAUGCAGAGAACUUUCCGGAGAUGGAUUGGUGCCUUCGGGAACUCUGACACAGGUGCUGCAUGGCUGUCGUCAGCUCGUGCGUGAGAUGUUGGGUUAAGUCCGUAACGAGCGCAACCCUUGUCCUUAGUUACCAGCACGUUAUGGUGGGCACUCUAAGGAGACUGCCGGUGACAAACCGGAGGAAGGUGGGGAUGACGUCAAGUCAUCAUGGCCCUUACGGCCUGGGCUACACACGUGCUACAAUGGUCGGUACAAAGGGUUGCCAAGCCGCGAGGUGGAGCUAAUCCCAUAAAACCGAUCGUAGUCCGGAUCGCAGUCUGCAACUCGACUGCGUGAAGUCGGAAUCGCUAGUAAUCGUGAAUCAGAAUGUCACGGUGAAUACGUUCCCGGGCCUU
RNAcentral lists this ribosomal RNA (397 nucleotides) under uncultured Pseudomonas sp. Its description in RNAcentral is "bacterial SSU rRNA". It matches the Rfam family "Bacterial small subunit ribosomal RNA", at positions 984 to 1382 of the family's 1533-position model. Lineage: Bacteria; Pseudomonadati; Pseudomonadota; Gammaproteobacteria; Pseudomonadales; Pseudomonadaceae. The record is from RNAcentral.